GGGGAGCAGCUCAGGAAGGAAAAGGCAGAGCCUGCCUCCAGCUGAACUCUGACAUUGGCCAGAUUCAACGUGUUACAAACAAACAUAUUCCACCUGUUACAACAAUCUGGCAUAUUACUUCCUUGAUACGUGAUGAUACAAUACCUCUCAGGUUUGCUGAGUAGCAAAGAGAAAUGGAAACAUUAACAGUCCAAUUGCUUGAGAUUUUUGAGAGGCCAAAGGAGCAGCAAAAUACAUGUUGGGGGAAAAGCUUGAAUUGGCAGGUAGGUAGAUUAGUUGACCUAUUAGUUCUUUUCUAUUGCAAACUUCUAUGAUUUUAUGUGGGGAAAAUUCCUUUUCAACCCACGCUGGCAAUCUGUUUAUGUUCUGAAGUAUGAUGAUUGACAUCCCUUUUAACUUUUAACCUAGAGAAUGUCUCUGCAAGUGUUAUUCCUACAUAUAAAUGUCUAAUGCUUUUAAUAAAAAAAAAAAAAAGUCUCUCAAUUAGGGGACUGUAUCCAUGUGCAAAUGCAGAAUGGAGAUCACAACAGAGUCUGAGGUGUUAUCGCGGCAUGGGCAGCACUCCCACUCAGGAAGGAUGGGGCGUUGAGAAGGAAAAGGGAGCAUUUGGGACUUUAUAGACUGGAGAGUAAAG
This is a non-coding RNA of Sturnus vulgaris (Common starling), 634 nucleotides long. The record is from RefSeq and is a predicted model, not a curated record. Lineage: Eukaryota; Metazoa; Chordata; Aves; Passeriformes; Sturnidae.